Molecule: ribosomal RNA, 358 nt
Filed under: uncultured bacterium
Lineage: Bacteria
Description: bacterial SSU rRNA
Rfam family: Bacterial small subunit ribosomal RNA
Source: RNAcentral
AACGAACGCUGGCGGCAUGCCUAACACAUGCAAGUCGAACGAGACCUUCGGGUCUAGUGGCGCACGGGUGCGUAACGCGUGGGAAUCUGCCCUUAGGUUCGGAAUAACUCAGGGAAACUUGAGCUAAUACCGGAUAAUGACUUCGGUCCAAAGAUUUAUCGCCUAGGGAUGAGCCCGCGUAGGAUUAGCUAGUUGGUGAGGUAAAAGCUCACCAAGGCGACGAUCCUUAGCUGGUCNGAGAGGAUGAUCAGCCACACUGGGACUGAGACACGGCCCAGACUCCUACGGGAGGCAGCAGUGGGGAAUAUUGGACAAUGGGCGAAAGCCUGAUCCAGCAAUGCCGCGUGAGUGAUGAAGG